Molecule: long non-coding RNA, 1076 nt
Organism: Magnolia sinica
Lineage: Eukaryota; Viridiplantae; Streptophyta; Magnoliopsida; Magnoliales; Magnoliaceae
Exons: 3
Source: RefSeq, a predicted model, not a curated record
UCUACAAUUUGAUCUUUACAAAUGUUUCUGCAUCAUAAAUAUUGGGAAUGUAAUUACAAUUUGAUCAUUGCCGGUCUACAAUUUGAUCUUUCCUAUUAACUAAAUUAUGUAUUUCAAGGUUAUUUUCUCCAUCAACGCAAGGCAGAGAUGACAGAUUUCCUGAGAAAGGUCAGUUUUUUUUUUUCAUACAAAACUAAAGAGCAAUGAUUGUGUAUGCUUAGUAGUUCUGUUUUGGCCAAAAGUUGUUGGCUGGGGCUCAUCUUCAAUUGGAGAUUUCCUUAGUGUUUCUCUUCAACAGCAGUUGGCUAUUCAUUAGUUAUUAAUUUGGCUGAAUUUGAUGCUUUCUCUUUCACUACUAGUUGACUGGACGCAAGUGAGCUUUGUAAUAUUACAAGUUGUAAGUAAGGAAAUCCAAGGAAAUACCCAAGAAAUACCCAAGCUAAUUUUUUUUUAAAAAAAUGCACCUCUUAGUUGAAUUUGUGCAUCUAUAUCUGUACAUGAUAUACUCCUAUUUGAUGUUUUUUUUUUUGGAAAGAUUCCUUUUGAAUGUUUAUCUAUACUUUCAAAGAACAAAAAUUAUAUUUAGUAGUUCUCAAUGAAUGUGGGUAUUGGUACUUUCAGGUAGGUGUUGCAGAACUUAAAGUUGCAGUUGAAAGGAGUGGGGGGAUGGUUGUGCUGGCGGAAAGCUUUGGCCAUUCUGUUUUUAAGGAUUCUCUCAAAUGCAUUUUUUAGUCCACUGACUACGACUUUGGUCUAUCAUUUAAGCUUCAGAUGAAUUUGUUAAGAGGCGUGAAGAGAUGUGCCCAAGUGUGUGUUGAGAAGGUCUUUAUGUCUUUCGAAUCCACUGUUCGUAAGAGGGCAAGCGAAAUGGUAUGGUCUUUAUUCAAUCGUAACAUGCCUCUGGCAAUUGAAUUAAGUGCAAUAAGAAUUGUUGACGGAUCAAAAAGCGAAUUACUGUCUCAAUCGAAGCAUUUGGAGGUCCUCCAUAUGCUAAAUUCACUGAAACUUCUUUUCCCUUUUCUCUCAAAGAAAGUCACUAUUAAAUUGUUGCCGGAUUUAUAUAAGCUCUUGGGUUG